RNAcentral lists this long non-coding RNA (846 nucleotides) under Anser cygnoides (Swan goose). RNAcentral describes it as "lncRNA (ENSACDG00005015909.1)". The record is from RNAcentral. Lineage: Eukaryota; Metazoa; Chordata; Aves; Anseriformes; Anatidae.
GGAGCCCAGCUCCCAAAAUCCACUCAGCAGCCACACCAGUGGGGAUUGUCAGACAUCGCACCUCAGGGAGGGAGGGACGUGGUGCUGAGGGGCGCUGAGGGGAACCCUACGGCUCCCGAACCGGGGCGUGACGGGAGAGGGGCGCUGAGGGGAACCGGUGCCCGGGGUCCCACUGCUCAGGGCGAGGGUUUUUUGAGGUGCCCUCCAGCCGAGGAAGGAGGGGGGCGACCGAAACCAAACACAGCUAGCCCCGCGACCCCCGCGGGCUCGCCCUGCGCCACAGCCGGAUCCCGGCGUGUGCCGGGGCCGGGGCCGGUCGGAGCGGCGCUCCCGCUCCCACUUCGCCUUGGCAGGGCACCGCCAUCAGACGGAGUGGGAGGAAGGAACAUUAACUCCAGCAGCUGUUUCUUGACCCCGGCUGUCAGCCUGCCCGAGAACACAUCAUCUGUGACCAGAAAGCACGCAGGCAUACCUGCACCACUGUCCUCAUCUGUGCCGAGAAGCCCUAAGAGAUGGAAAGCUUUGGCUGGCAAAGUGCUGAUCAUUAGUGCAGCUUGUGCUCAGGAAGUGCUCAAAGGACACGUGUACCUUUCACUGAAUGAUUAUGUUCUGGAGAAUAGGAGUGGGAGUUCCUGUAAUAGUUUGUCCAGUGUAUGCUUCUGUCUGUGCCAGCUUUGGGGGGCAGAUGAGACAGCAGUGACAGUGUCUCAGCACAAGCUUCUAGGUCUGAACUACAGAGGAAAGGAUGCUGGUAGUGGCUGUGCAAUCCUCUAUCUGAAAGUCCUGAGGAAACCAGAAUUUUGUCAGUUCAAACUGAUAAAGAAACGAAACUCUGCAGAUGACUGA